RNAcentral lists this long non-coding RNA (1265 nucleotides) under Betta splendens (Siamese fighting fish). Its description in RNAcentral is "lncRNA (ENSBSLG00000005842.1)". The record is from RNAcentral. Lineage: Eukaryota; Metazoa; Chordata; Actinopteri; Anabantiformes; Osphronemidae.
CUGCCGUGCAGCUGAAGGUGCCGCGGGGCGCAGGGCGCGAGGAGGCGCAGGGCGCGAGGAGCGGCUGCGGGACCGGAAGGCUCGCCGCGUGCACGCCGCAGGCCUCCAGCUCCCUGGACGGAAGGCGUUUAGAGAGAAAGAGAGCUGUUAAACUUCUCCUCUCCAGACACACAACCUGCUCUUCUGCCAGCAUUCCUCGCUGUCCGACUCAAACCAGAGAGCGUGGAGCUGUGCAGAUGAGAGGGAAGGCCACUCAAACAUGCAGGGAAUGGAGGGAAGAAGCCAUACCAGGAGUCGGCGUUAGGGAACUUUCAGUGAUUUCUUUAGAUUUCGAUGCACACAUUAACAAAUGCACAAACUCAGACCAGCUGACUGUCAAUUAUUGGGCUUCUCAUGUGCUGAACUGUGAAACGCUCAGAUUCCACCGACAAAAUCGUCUCACACGCCACAUUUAAUGCAACGCGUACGUUUGGGCACGCUUCCCAAGUCACGCGUUCCCACCCGGUUCUAAUUUGAACGACGCUCUCUAGAGUGAUGCUGCGACCGAGGGACGCUGAACGCAGCGGGAGACGUCCGUACCUCCGCCGCUAGAGGGCGCUGUUGGCUCUGAUUCCCGCCUGCACCGCUGCAGGAAGCCCGGAGGCUGGAGACGCCGAUCAGAGGACGCUUCUCCGGCGCGCGGAGACACGUGGAGCCGCCUGCGGGUCGCGGUUUGUGCGCACGACUGCAAAGAAUACAAGACUGGUGAUGCAUCCGCACCCGUCAGAAGUCAGGAGGCCUGUGUUUGCUCCAGGGAUUACAUUACCACACCACAGAGCUGCCAGACAGACCCGCUGCACCACCACCCAAGGUGAUCUCUGCUCGGGUCAGCGCCUUCGGCUGCGUGGAAUAAUGACAUCCCCGCUCGGCCUGACUCAUCACCACCCCCGUCCCCAUGGGAUCCAUGCUGCAGCUCACGCGAAAUUUAUUGCCGGUGAACCCCUUCGGCUCAGCCCUGCCUCCAUGCGCGCCUGUUGGUGUUCUCUUCCUCACUCGCUUCCUGGUUCUGAGGUCCGCGUGCGUCCGACAGCAGGGUUCAGCUGCUCGGACCGACUCAUCACCGUUGACGUCGGUAGAGUACUCGCUAAAGUAGUCACUCGUUGCUGCAGGAGGAAAGGGAUGGAGCAAGGUGAGGACUGAAGAGGCCGGAGAGCGAGUUUCCUCUGAGUCUGUUUCUCCCGUUGUCAGAGGAAGAAAUAAAUUUAGCUUAUUGCAUUAGCGGGGCA